Molecule: ribosomal RNA, 491 nt
Filed under: uncultured bacterium
Lineage: Bacteria
Description: bacterial SSU rRNA
Rfam family: Bacterial small subunit ribosomal RNA
Source: RNAcentral
AACGAACGCUGGUGGCAUGCCUAAUACAUGCAAGUCGAACGAGAAAGCACUUCGGUGUGAGUACAGUGGCGCACGGGUGAGUAACGCGUAGGUGAUAUGCCUAUUAGUGGGGGACAACAGUUGGAAACGACUGCUAAUACCGCAUAAGCUUGGUGACAUUGAAAAAACCAAGGAAAGGGGGCUUCGGCUCUCGCUAGUAGAUUGGCCUGCGUAGCAUUAGCUUGUUGGUGGGGUAAUGGCCUACCAAGGCGACGAUGCUUAACUGGUCUGAGAGGAUGAUCAGUCACACUGGAACUGGGACACGGUCCAGACUCCUACGGGAGGCAGCAGUAGGGAAUAUUGCGCAAUGGGGGAAACCCUGACGCAGCAAUGCCACGUGAGUGAGGAAUGCCUUCGGGUUGUAAAGCUCUGUCCUAUAGGAAGAACUGCAUUAUGGUUAAUACCCAUAGUGUUUGACGGUACUAUAGAAGAAAGCACCGGCUAACUCCGUG